CAAUAAUGAUGGAUGAAGACACUUAACUUGGAAGAUGUUCCAAUCUGGACGAUACUCCAAAACACUUCGCCUCUGAUCCAUGUGUUUGGAGUGCAGGCAAAGAUGAAACAAAUAGAAGCUUACGGGUAUAGGGCAUGGGCCCGUUAAGAGCCCAAUAAAUACAGAGAUCCAUUAACAAGGAACGGUCCUGAUGAGAAGCUGUUUCCAUCCGACGUACCGCGACGAGCGAUCGCUGCGGAGCAUCGUGUGACGAGGUUACUCGGUUCAUCGGUUGGCUGUUGAGCGUCGGAGCACUAUAAAUAACUGCUUAACGGACACAUGAUGCGGUUACUCUGAGAGGGACGGGUCGAGAGAGAGAGGGAGAGAGCUCUCCAGCGUUUGCGAGGGUGGUGUCGUCCUCAGGUUCUUUCUUCGUUCUUUCGCUUGCUUCAGACUCUUGCUUGGACGAUUGGUUUGCGAUUUGGAUUCAUCCGUCUCAUCUGCCGCUUGAUCGCGAGAUGUAUCGACGAGGUUUAACAUGCGAAACCAUACAUACAAUGGGUAAAUACUCGGAUCGCUUUCCUCUUUGCUCUCGAUGCAGAGGCCGGCCACUUCGCUCUAUAACAUCACGGCUCAUCUUCCGGUGGUCGAAUCGAUUGGGUUCUCACUGCUCUGAGCCAGGCGUUCACCCAGUGUGUCUUUGACCGCUGGGUCCUGAUGUCUUCCGAUCUAUCGGAUGAGGCUCGUGAUCGACAUCCGUAAGAGGAAGGGCUUGAAGAAGCAGAUUACCUCCCUCCCCAAAUACCAAAACCAGCUCUAAAUAUCCCAAAAUGCUUCUGGUGCAGGUCUUCAACCACAUACAUUUACUACACGAAGACCUUUUUGGCUGAAUCGGGAUUAUCCAGUGAAACCAAUUUGAAGGUCACCGAUCCCUAAUUUAUUCAAUAGUUUGUGGGACAAUAUGGAGAAGAAACAUAACAGAAUAAAAAGGCUAACCGCAAUGCCACUCCGCAGAAGAGCAAAAAAAUUGGCAGGACAAACCGGCAGCAUCAUCCACAAGCCCGCUUCUGGUCCUGCUUUUAUACAUUCACGACGACACCACCGAAGUGUUAACCUAAACAUUCUUUUUUUCGACAACAGAGAAAAGGGUAAGCAGAAACCGCAGGUUUCCUUAUUUUAUUUUGUAUUGGAAUCCUCUUAGGACUGUUCAAGGUACCGAGAGUGAGAGGCUGCAAGAAGAGACGCGCCAAGGCCUGAUCCAUCGUUAGUGAGGUUGACGACAACAGACGAAGAGGCCUCAUCUCCAAGCAUUUCAUUCAGGGCGCCGUGCAAGCAUUCUCUGAAUACAGUGUAAUGCUCGUAAAGCCCACCGUCCAUAGCGAUCACUGUCCUUCGCAUGCCACUGCCAUCCCGUCCCAGCUUCUUCAGAAUCCCAACUAUGCCUGCGGCAGCAAGCCGAGCCCCACGCUUGGCAACGACAUCACAGAUCUGGACAACCACUUUUCUCGCUUUCAAGGAGGUGCUAGAAAUCUGGAGUUCAGGCAAAAACAAAGACAGUAAAAAAAAAAAUUGGCUGCGGAACAUGAGAUUUAGGGAAAAUGUAAAGGAUUGUACCCCCAAGAAUUCCUUCAGUUUGGCCCCGACAACUUUGAGAUCAGCUGAAGUAUCAUGAUGCAUAGCAGACAUGACUGGUGUCCUACAAACCAUAAAUUGCGUACUUGUUCAGAUAACAAACCGAAAGGGUGAGUCAACUGAUCCAUUAAAUAAGGACCCAAAAGUAAAAAACAAAGCAAAAGUCAGCAGGAGAUUGGUUAUCACAAAUUUGAUCAACAGGAGCGGUGCCGAUUGUCUAGUCAUAACACAAUUACGAAAAAGUUGAAAACUCGGUUGCAACUUAUGCUUGAAUCCUGUCUACACAGUACCCACGCAAUCAUAAAGUUGACUCUUUUUUUUUAACAUCAGCUUGCGUACUUAAGAAACAAAUAUGACAGGAUCAAGCAGGAAACCUGCAACAAUGUCCUAAAAAGAAUGAUACCAUAACGUUAUUAUAUUUAUU
Molecule: long non-coding RNA, 2035 nt
Organism: Musa acuminata AAA Group (dessert banana)
Lineage: Eukaryota; Viridiplantae; Streptophyta; Magnoliopsida; Zingiberales; Musaceae
Exons: 3
Source: RefSeq, a predicted model, not a curated record